RNAcentral lists this ribosomal RNA (269 nucleotides) under Providencia rettgeri. RNAcentral's name for it is "partial 16S ribosomal RNA". It matches the Rfam family "Bacterial small subunit ribosomal RNA", at positions 464 to 737 of the family's 1533-position model. The record is from RNAcentral. Lineage: Bacteria; Pseudomonadati; Pseudomonadota; Gammaproteobacteria; Enterobacterales; Morganellaceae.
AAUGAUUGACGUUCCUGACAGAGAAGCACCGGCUAUUCCGUGCCAGCAGCCGCGGUAAUACGGAGGUGCAAGCGUUAAUCGGAAUUACUGGCGUAAAGCGCACGCAGGCGGUUGAUUAAGUUAGAUGUGAAUCCCCGGGCUUAACCUGGGAAUGGCAUCUAAGACUGGUCAGCUAGAGUCUUGUAGAGGGGGGUAGAAUUCCAUGUGUAGCGGUGAAAUGCGUAGAGAUGUGGAGGAAUACCGGUGGCGAAGGCGGCCCCCUGGACAAA